CCCUUCUCUGGGCCAGGGCACUCCAAAUUAACCUGAAAACCGUUCAGGCCACGACAUGAAGUGGGGGCGGGUGGGACAUGGCUGACUAUGCCCUCCUCCCUUUUGGAAUUCAGGGAAAGCCAACACAGACCUUAAGUCUAAUGAGAAACACCAUCUAUUCUCUCUGAAGCCUGCUACCCCAAGGCUUCUUCUGCUGAUAAAACUUUGGUCUCC
Molecule: long non-coding RNA, 213 nt
Filed under: Homo sapiens (human)
Lineage: Eukaryota; Metazoa; Chordata; Mammalia; Primates; Hominidae
Description: LHRI_LNC1018.1
Source: RNAcentral